Molecule: ribosomal RNA, 465 nt
Filed under: uncultured bacterium
Lineage: Bacteria
Description: partial 16S ribosomal RNA
Rfam family: Bacterial small subunit ribosomal RNA
Source: RNAcentral
CUACGGGUCGCUGCAGUGAGGAAUAUUGCGCAAUGGGGGAAACCCUGACGCAGCGACGCCGCGUGGAUGAUGAAGGCCUUCGGGUCGUAAAAUCCUGUCAGAAGGAAAGAAGUAUAUGGUAGCUAAUAUCUGCCAUAUUUGACGGUACCUUCAAAGGAAGCACCGGCUAACUCCGUGCCAGCAGCCGCGGUAAUACGGAGGGUGCAAGCGUUGUUCGGAAUUACUGGGCGUAAAGCGCACGUAGGCGGCUGUUUAAGUCAGAUGUGAAAGCCCAUGGCUUAACCAUGGACGUGCAUUUGAUACUGGGCAGCUUGAGUACUGGAGGGGGUGGUGGAAUUCCCGGUGUAGAGGUGAAAUUCGUAGAUAUCGGGAGGAAUACCGGUGGCGAAGGCGACCACCUGGCCAGAUACUGACGCUGAGGUGCGAAAGCGUGGGGAGCAAACAGGAUUAGAUACCCCUGUAGUC